UUUUUUUUUUUAAACUGUAUAGUUUGUCUUGUAGCUUUCUGAGACGGUGUGUGCAGUUGUGAUUAGACUUGCUCAGUAAAAUAAUUAGGUUGCACACUACGGGAUGUUUGUAUCACUUAAUUUGCAUUGUUUUUAUAAAUUGAGCUAACUGCGGCCAGUCUGCCGGACAAUGUACUUGCAAGAAUGAACAGCAAAUUUUGGUGGAUCUUCAAAGUGAGUGUAUCCAAUUUUUAUUUUGCAUAUUUAAUGUAUUAUCUAUCAGUCGGUAAUACCCGUUUAAUAGUAAUGAUAAAAAAAAUCUGUACUGUAUUUUUCACAGUUGAAGCAGACUAUCUGGCGUCUUACGUAGCUAUAGGGAUUGAUCUCCUGUCAAGCAUCAGUGUGCUUUACUCUAAAAUUUGUAAUAUGUUGGGUAUGUUGUUCUGGAAAGAAAUAUUUAAAUUUAUGCAGCUGAUUGUCAAAUACAUUUUAUAUAUUUAUGUGUGCUUGAAUUUUACUGUUUGUUUGAAAAUAUAUAUUCUAUGUACAACAUUGUUUUGUCUUUAUGUUCUGUACUAGCUGUGCUUUAUGAAUUUUUAAAAUAAAGUUUACAAAUGAUUUUCUAUAGC
This is a non-coding RNA of Pelobates cultripes (western spadefoot toad), 608 nucleotides long. Lineage: Eukaryota; Metazoa; Chordata; Amphibia; Anura; Pelobatidae. The record is from the annotation of a GenBank genome assembly.